This is a long non-coding RNA of Choloepus didactylus (southern two-toed sloth), 461 nucleotides long. RefSeq lists it as uncharacterized. Lineage: Eukaryota; Metazoa; Chordata; Mammalia; Pilosa; Megalonychidae. The record is from RefSeq and is a predicted model, not a curated record. The transcript is spliced from 3 exons.
AGCUCCAUAAAAUGCCAUAACCUCAGGCAGAAUAUUGGCAUCAACUAUCAUCAAUUGUGUGAACUGUGGGUUUGGAAUUCACAUGGUGCAUCAAAGUGAACUUAUGUCAGUGGGAGCUCUGUGCAGGAUGGCAGCGCAAACACCGGCCUCUAUACAUGAAGUCUGGAUCCACCUCUGCAGGCAGAACACCUUCCUCCCACAGGCCACUAAGGAGUUAGCCUAUUGACAAUAUUUAAAGCCUUGGGACUGGAUGAGAUCACCAAAGGAGAAAAAUGUGGAUGGAGGAGAAGAUGAAGGGUUGAGUUCUGGAGAACUCCAACUUUAAGAGGUCGGGGAUAACAAGAGGAACCAGAAAAUAUAUCUUGCAGAUCACUCCAUAAUAGUACACAGGAAGCAGCAGCAUUCUUUGUAAUGGACACCUCACAUACCAAUUUGUAAAUAUGCCAUAAUUAUUUAAUUAU